GAUGAACGCUGGCGGCGUGCCUAAUACAUGCAAGUCGAGCGAACGGACGAGAAGCUUGCUUCUCUGAUGUUAGCGGCGGACGGGUGAGUAACACGUGGAUAACCUACCUAUAAGACUGGGAUAACUUCGGGAAACCGUAGCUAAUACCGGAUAAUAUUUUGAACCGCAUGGUUCAAAAGUGAAAGACGGUCUUGCUGUCACUUAUAGAUGGAUCCGCGCUGCAUUAGCUAGUUGGUAAGGUAACGGCUUACCAAGGCAACGAUGCAUAGCCGACCUGAGAGGGUGAUCGGCCACACUGGAACUGAGACACGGUCCAGACUCCUACGGGAGGCAGCAGUAGGGAAUCUUCCGCAAUGGGCGAAAGCCUGGCGGAGCAACGCCGCGUGAGUGAUGAAGGUCUUCGGAUCGUAAAACUCUGUUAUUAGGGAAGAACAUAUGUGUAAGUAACUGUGCACAUCUUGACGGUACCUAAUCAGAAAGCCACGUCUAACUACGUG
This 497-nucleotide ribosomal RNA is filed under the name uncultured bacterium. RNAcentral's name for it is "partial 16S ribosomal RNA". It matches the Rfam family "Bacterial small subunit ribosomal RNA", at positions 28 to 507 of the family's 1533-position model. The record is from RNAcentral.